RNAcentral lists this ribosomal RNA (427 nucleotides) under uncultured bacterium. RNAcentral's name for it is "bacterial SSU rRNA". It matches the Rfam family "Bacterial small subunit ribosomal RNA", at positions 29 to 501 of the family's 1533-position model. The record is from RNAcentral.
AACGAACGCUGGCGGCAGGCCUAACACAUGCAAGUCGAACGCUCUAGCAAUAGAGAGUGGCGCACGGGUGCGUAACGCGUGGGAAUAUGCCCUUGACUACGGAACAACAUCGGGAAACUGAUGCUAUUACCGUAUAAUGUCUUCGGACCAAAGAUUUAUCGGUCAAGGAUUAGCCCGCGUCUGAUUAGCUAGUUGGUGAGGUAAUGGCUCACCAAGGCGACGAUCAGUAGCUGGUCUGAGAGGAUGAUCAGCCACACUGGGACUGAGACACGGCCCAGACUCCUACGGGAGGCAGCAGUGAGGAAUAUUGGACAAUGGGCGCAAGCCUGAUCCAGCCAUGCCGCGUGAGUGAUGAAGGCCUUCGGGUUGUAACGCUCUUUCAGAUGCGAAGAUAAUGACGGUAACAUCAGAAGAAGCCCCGGCUAAA